UGCUGACAGUGAGCUCAGUGUGAGAGACAGAGGAGCCUCGCGACCACCUGCUAAACUCUCCAACGGUUAUCAGUUGACGGGCUAACGUCUAGCAGCAGCUAACCAACUAACGAACGGAAAACUUCAGUAUCCAGUGGAGAUAACGACUGACGGUUGACAGUAAAGCAGUUCUAUAAUGGAGGAGCUUCACGACGUCCAGCUGACUGAGAUCAAACCUCUCCUGACAGGACAGAAUGGGAGAAAUCUGCAGGACUUUGACUGUCAGGUGAGUUCAGCACCG
Long non-coding RNA from Notothenia coriiceps (black rockcod), 280 nucleotides. RefSeq lists it as uncharacterized. The record is from RefSeq and is a predicted model, not a curated record. NCBI's taxonomy places the organism in Eukaryota, Metazoa, Chordata, Actinopteri, Perciformes, Nototheniidae. The transcript has 3 exons.